Molecule: RNA transcript, 3570 nt
Organism: Eurytemora carolleeae
Lineage: Eukaryota; Metazoa; Arthropoda; Copepoda; Calanoida; Temoridae
Exons: 20
Source: RefSeq, a predicted model, not a curated record
UAAAAUGUAAGAAUUUUCAGACAAUGACCUGAGCAUGACACUUGAUAAAAAUGGCUGUAAGCUGCUCACAAAUAUUAAGAUUAUGCCGCCUUGUGAUUCUGGAUAUUCUUCUCUCGUCGGUCAAUCUUGUUCUAACAUUUAUCAACAUAAACCAGUUCUUAAAAUCAGAGUCUACAAGGAGUAUUGGCCUGUUCUCACUGUUUCUCCUCUGGUUGCCUGGUAUUGUAGCUUCAGGUGGAUUUGUUAUCUUGUAUUUCCGGGGUAAAAAAGCAAUUUCCAAGCUUUUACCCUGGAAAUUGGUCUCUUAUCCCCUCACUCUUCUCAUUUUCUUCCCAGUGCUUCCUGUUGUGUUAACAGUUUACUCCUUGAUAAGAAAAGACGAUGAGCAUUACCAAAGAGCCCGACUAGCAAGACUUGUCUCGUCCUUCCUCGAUCAUGGACCACAGUUUGUAGUUCGUGUUGUAGUUGUGGUUCUCAGCGGGCUUCCACACAGAGGAAUUUAUGAUAAAGGGGAUGUAGUUUUUAUUAUUUCAAUGAUCUCCAGCUUUCUUUCUCUUAUUCUGUCAGCGCUGGUUUUUAAUGAAAGGAAAUCAAGUUAUGUACUCUGGAUAUUUGUAUGUACUCCAAUGUUCUCUGCUAUAUUAGCUUCUCGUGCCUUCACUUUAGCAGUUUUCUUGAGACAAGUUCUUCAGGUUGAAGCUCCCUGGUAUCAACAAAUGAUUUGUAUUCUAGUUGUAGUUCUCAUGAUAUUAUCGAAUAUAGGAUUAUUCAGAUGGUGUGGACAGGAUUGGAUUCGUAGUGUUGUCUUCAGUUUAUCUUCUGUUCUUCUUCCAGCAGGAUACAAUAAUGAUCCUGAAUAUUACCAACUACCCAACCAGAACCUCCUGAGUAACAGAUCCUUGGUAAAACCUUUACCCAGGUUAAGACGAGAUGUAAUUGAAACUGCGGAGCUUGGCAGCCAAGUUGUGACUACUGGACCGGAGGGAGAGGAGGGUGUAAAUAUAACUGAAAAAGAAGAGUUUUUAGAACCAAUGAAUUCAGGAAAAUAUUUAUUGAGUCAUAUACUUGUAAACACUGUACUGCUUGGAACCUGUUCAUUAUAUGUUUACUUCAGUUCUAAACUUGACAUAAAGGAGGAUGAUGCGUUAGUUCUUCCACAAGUGCUAUGUGCUAUACCAGGAUUGUUAUUUGCAAUCGGGAGAAGUUUUCUACACUUUCAUGAACUAACCCAGUACCAGGAUAAUGGAACAUUGUCGGAGAGAGUUUCUGGUUCUUGUCAGAAGGGAACUAAACUUGCAAUGGCAAUUAUUUUCACUGGUUUAGGAUUUUGUUCCCUAAUCCCUGCAAUACUCUGGACAUUGUUCUUUAAGUUUAUCAGCUCUCUACUUGUCUAGCACAACAGAUUCAAAGUGUUCGAGCAUUUCUCCAUGAAACCGUUUGUGGAGAAACACAGACUUGUGGUUGGUGAUGUUCAUUCACUGGAGUAUGAAGAUGCUAAGGAUGGUUCAAAAGUGAAAUUCGAUAGGAAACUCUAUGCAAGAUCAGGAGGAGUCGGAAGUCUCAUAAGUGACAUAGGAGAAUCGAAGACCAAUCCAACAGAUCAGAUGAAAAAAUAGAGGAUCCCGACAUCAAAAAGAUCUGCACUUCCCAAUUCACAAGAUCUUGUUGACGUUGGAGUAGAAGCCUAUGGAUGGGCUGAUGGUUGUUUCCAGUUUGGACUGGGGACAGUUUGCACACGGAUAAAUUUUACCAUCCCCAAUGAAGAUGACAAUGUACUGUAUUUCAUAGAUGUUAACACCUUUGGAAUUGGAGGUGUCCUCAAUAUAGGAACUGAUUUACGAACCGAAGUUGAGGUAGAACCAAUAAAGACCCAAGAGGAUUUUCUUGAAAGGAAAAGUGACUGGGAAAUAGUUGGCAUAACAGAAGGAACAUUGAUUGUAGCUAAAUGCUACAAGUUUGAAGGAAUGGGAAAGAACGGAUGGAUGACGGACCCUGCUGAAGAGGGGGGCAAAAGCUGCAUACCUCAGCACAUUCAGAAUGAAGACUUGAUGGAAGGUUCUCAGGAGUUCCCUCUUGAACAUUCAUUUCUCGGCCGCUGGAAUGUGCAAUGUGAUUACUAUCCUCUGGGAGAAAAGUACCAGGGUACAGCAGUGGUUUACUACAACGGAUUCUGGAAGGUAGCUCACACAGGAAUGCGAGCGAGCACCAUGUUCAACAAAGGUUAUAGGGCUAGAGACAAUGAGAGAAUAUCUGAAAGUCAAAGAUACAUAACCUGGGGAGAGCACACUACAAAUGGUAGAAAGUAUGCAGUGAACAAAAUUUCAGACAAGAAUAUUGAACAACUGGAUGAAAGCCCUCUGUACGAGGGAGAGCUUCAGGUAAACGGAAGAAACCUUAGUAUGGAGUUGCUCACAAAAGGGACCGCUACAUGCAGAGUCUUCAUGGAAAAGACCAACAUCGUUCAGUUUGAUGAGGACACUUGCGAGUAUUCCAGUGGAACUCCGGCUGUACACAACUCUACACAUGUGGUAGUCAGAACAAAGGGCCUUUGUAAGAUACACUACCUUCUUUGUAUCCUUAAAUUGACCUAGAUAUUGAACAUUUAUAAUGACCUGAUUUAUUAUAAACUGGAUUCUGGGAAAAUUUCUUACUGUCUCUGUCAAUUUUAAAGAUGAAGAACUGGUAAAUUACAUUUUAGAAAUAAGACCAGUAGUUUUUGGUGUUAAAUGUUUAACUGUGAUACUUCAAAAUAAUGUUAACAAAUAAUUCCGCAUGGAACAAAGACGAUAUUAAAAUCGUCAUUUAAUUCCUGUUAUUUGGGACGCCCUGUGUUUAUCUAAAUAAUAUUUGGUAAAAUAAUGGUAUCUUUGAUUUCCAGUGUAACUGAUUCACACAAAUUUCACUAUUCAUGAGUUCUAUAUUAAUGUUACAAGUACAAAUGUGAUAAUUGAUACAAAGAUAGAUGUUAACCAUUAAACCAAGUUCAAAUUUGUUCAAAACGCAUGUUGCAAAUAUUUGAAUUUCUAUAGUAGAAAAUAUUUCAUUAUUAUUAACAAUUGCUCCGAAUUUAUCACAGAUCAAAUCUGGUUGGAUUUAUGUUCAAGAGACAAUUGUUGAAUAUAUGUACAAGCUUGGAUUUAGGUACUAUAUUCAGAUUACAGUUAUUUACAGUGUUACCUAUAAAGGAUGAUACGGCUGUACUCGAAACAUAUUCUCUCUGUUUACUUAUAUUCAAAAUUCCCUGCGAUUAUGAAUUUGUUUCUUUCUUGCCCUAUCAAUUAAAAAGCCAUAAAAAGACUAUAUUUAAGGCAGAGGACUUGAUUCGACUUUGUACACGAUUCUGGUUCAAUAUUUAUGUACACUGUUUCCAGAAUUAUUAUAACCAUUAUUUGUUUAUUUUGUGUUCAGUUGUUUCCUUAUACCACAAUGUGCAAUGUACAGUAUCAAAUUAUCAUCAUAUUUAUGUUAAAAUGCUUAUUCCUGUAGCAACAGUUUCAAAUAUUAUGUAAUGCCUAAAAAUAUAGAAAAUAUUGUUAAACAAGUUAAUAAACAAAUAAACUAUCAUGAUGA